Molecule: non-coding RNA, 283 nt
Organism: Microcebus murinus (gray mouse lemur)
Lineage: Eukaryota; Metazoa; Chordata; Mammalia; Primates; Cheirogaleidae
Source: RefSeq, a predicted model, not a curated record
AUUGCAGCAAACAGAGAACCGCAAAUGGAAGCUGAAGAUGAGACGAGAAAUAUCUACAGGAAUGUCUGAGUAAAUCCGACAGUCUACAGAAACAAAUUUCCCAAAAGGAGAAACAGCUGGUACAACUGGAAACUGAUUUGAAGAUUGAGAAGGAAUGGAGGCAGACUUUGCAGGAAGAUCUUCAAAAGGAGAAAGAUGCCUUAUCUCAUCUUAGAAAUGAGACCCAACAAAUCAUUAGUCUUAAAAAAGAGUUCCUUAACCUCCAGGAUGAAAAUCAGCAGUU